GAAUGUGACUCAGUGGUAGAGCAUUUUGUCUAGCAUGUGUGAGGUCCUGGGUUCAAUCCCCAGCAUCA
Molecule: transfer RNA, 68 nt
Filed under: Marmota monax (woodchuck)
Lineage: Eukaryota; Metazoa; Chordata; Mammalia; Rodentia; Sciuridae
Description: tRNA.Ala
Source: RNAcentral